UAAUGUAGGGCCUGAGAGGAACACACAGGGAAGAUGGAGGGAAAGAGUUGAGGGGGCUGUUCUUUCCCUCUCUUCCUUCUUUUGGGGGAACAUAACCAAGUCUUGCCUCCCUGAGAGGGAGUAUGUCUCCUCAGAGAAUGCUUCCAGGAGAUGGUGGACAAGAACUAGAGGGAAAACUUUGGGUUCAAUAUGGGUGUAUGGCGUUUGAGUGACAAAGCAGAGUUCAUUUUAGAGAGAUACGUUUUGAAAGGCAGGAAUGAAAGUAUUACAAAUCCCUUGAUCUUCUGAAGCAACAGAAUCUAGCUGGCUGUUAUGAAAAUCAGAGAUUUCAUUUUCCUUAAUUGAAGACAGGCCCUCAUUUCAUCACAAAAUGGAGUCAGGUGUCCUAGAAGUUCCAGCCAAAAACAGAGUCCUUCUUCCAGUAAUUUAUGUUCCUGAGUGGAGGAAGCCCUGGACUCCAGUUUUCAAGUUAGUUUUCUAUUUCAAGUUUGUCCAAUCUAUUUUGCAGAUCCAUUUUUCUGUUUUUAAAUUAUUAUUAAAUAUUUUGGAUGACUUCUAUUUUGUAAUAGUUUGACAUUUGGUAACUUUCCUUUAAAUUUUCUUAAUAUUGUUUCUUUUGCGAUUCUAUAAUUGUUUUUUCUCAACGAAUUUUGUUAUUUUUCUCAUUCAGUGAAGUAUCUCUUUAAUAAUGUGACUGGCUGGCAUAGCUCUAACUUUGUUAGUUCAUCUAGAUUAAAUUAUCCUUUUUAUCAUAUUGCCAUAGACCAUUUUCAUGGAUAGAAAAUACUACUACAAUCGUCUCCUUUAUUUCUGUAAAGGGAGGUAUGCAGUUCCAUAUUUAUUAAACCUUUGUUCCUAUCUGUGGGAAUUUACUAUUCAGAAGAACCCCCAUGCUUUUGAUGUUGCAAUCAACCUCAUCUUCUAAUUAAAUUAAAAAUAAGGCCUGAGGCUUAAAUGUAUAAGGGGGAUGCCUAUGCAUUCUGGGAGGGCCAGAGGUUUUCUUGUGGGUCCCUGGGACCUGUGAGAAGCUUGCCUCUCAUCCCAGGUGACUCUGGGCAGCAGGAAGACCACAGCCUUGGAUCCAGACUGAGGUCAAGUCCAGCCAAUCAGAGAGAUUCAGCAAAGUGACUUCAUGAAAGAUGUUUCAGGCUGGGAGAAGGAAGGACUUUUUUUAGGCAGAAUCACAAGAGGAAAGCACCAUUGGGUGAGUGCUGGCAUAGCUAAAGCCUGGCUGAGAAGCUGGUGCUCCCAGAGGAGAGAGAGGACUUGCAAAGGGAACAGCUGACCAUGUAUGGCUGGUGCCUUUUCUUUGUCUGACCCAUUUUUAAUUAUUUAAUAAAUAAUUAUAAAUUGAGAUACAGUCUC
Monodelphis domestica (gray short-tailed opossum) is the source of this 1365-nucleotide long non-coding RNA. RefSeq lists it as uncharacterized. The record is from RefSeq and is a predicted model, not a curated record. NCBI's taxonomy places the organism in Eukaryota, Metazoa, Chordata, Mammalia, Didelphimorphia, Didelphidae.